RNAcentral lists this ribosomal RNA (253 nucleotides) under uncultured bacterium. RNAcentral's name for it is "partial 16S ribosomal RNA". It matches the Rfam family "Bacterial small subunit ribosomal RNA", at positions 524 to 776 of the family's 1533-position model. The record is from RNAcentral.
UACGAAGGGGGCUAGCGUUGCUCGGAAUCACUGGGCGUAAAGGGUGCGUAGGCGGGACUUUAAGUCAGGGGUGAAAUCCUGGAGCUCAACUCCAAAACUGCCUUUGAUACUGAGGAUCUUGAGUUCGGGAGAGGUGAGUGGAACUGCGAGUGUAGAGGUGAAAUUCGUAGAUAUUCGCAAGAACACCAGUGGCGAAGGCGGCUCACUGGCCCGAUACUGACGCUGAGGCACGAAAGCGUGGGGAGCAAACAGG